This 4267-nucleotide long non-coding RNA is filed under the name Sus scrofa (pig). RNAcentral describes it as "lncRNA (ENSSSCG00060076719.1)". Lineage: Eukaryota; Metazoa; Chordata; Mammalia; Artiodactyla; Suidae. The record is from RNAcentral.
GCACUGGGGAGAAAUGAUUCAGAGAGAGGCCCAGCAGACGACUGGGGGUAUCAGGGAAAGCUUUGGGUUGAAAGGGACGGGCAGUCAGUGUCUGAAAGGAGCAGAGCAAGGAGCUCCUCCAAUGUCAGGUGCUCUGCACUUCACAUAUGAAGGACAUACCUUCCCCAACUUCACAGCCAACUAGUGCAGGUGGUGCAGGUAUAAAAGAGGCCACACACGAUCUUGGGGACCCUGAGGUGCUGCAGAAGCUCAGGGGCAGGGCAGCCCUUGCCUUCAUUAUAGCCCUGCUGUCUCCUUACUCAUUUCUAAAUCACUACCACUCUCCCCCACCCCCCGGCCCACGGUUCCAUUCUUCUUGGCAUUCACUGGGGUAGACAGUUUUAUUGUGAGAUCAUAAAGAACCUGAAGAACAUCAUAGUGGGGCAGAUGAGCAAGUGCCCAGCCAGGAAAGGUGUUUGGACUGAAGCUCAGUACUCUGAGGGUUGAGAAAUCAUCCAUCAGGUUUUUAGCAACAAAAUCCAAAGUUUGGGGCUCUAGUGACAAGGUCUGAGAACUGGGAAGUUGCCCCAUAGAUACAGGAAGUUGUUGCAGGUUCAUUUCAGUGCCAAGAUGAUACUUAGGUUGUAGAAGGCAGAUAGAGCACCUCAUGGUUCACAAGCUGCCACCCUCCACUGCACUUCCCAGAGUGACAAGUGAGUUCUUACCACCCUGGCCAGUUUCUACUGGGGCAAUGUGUUAAAAUACCACGAGAGACCUCAAGGUGGAGUUUCCCAUAUAGGCAUCUGAGCACCUGCCAGAAGCACCCCACCUCCUUGUAGAAUGACUGGACCAUUGUUUGAACAGCCUUGUCACUGUUUCCUCUACCCACACCCAUCUGUUCCCCUUUUUGGUUCCAGAGUGAUGGUGUUUUUUAGAACAGAAUCUUUAUAGAUCGAUCAGGGAGACAUACAUGGUUCCCCUCUUGUUUCCAGCUCUUAAGCUUCCUGUAUGCCACUCCCCCUUGACUGACCCCCAUCUCACCGCCCAUAAGCAGGCUGUCCAUCACUCACAUUAGCUCUGGCUUCGAAAUACGUCUGUAUUCCAGCUGCUGCUCACAUAGCCACUGUAACCCUGCCAGUUCAUUCCCCCCGUCAUCUCUGAUAGGAACCGAGUUUCAAAUUGUGUUGUCCAGAGAAACAGAACUAGUAAAGUGUGCAUAUAUAUGGCGAGAGACUCAUAAGGAAUGAGCUCACAAGAGUUUUGGAGGCCAAGUCCCAGUGUCUCCCAUCAGCAAACUGGAGACCUGGGAGAGCCAGUGUUUCAGUUUGGAUCCAAAGGCAGUGAAAAACCGGUAGCCGUCAGCCAAAGAGUUCCCUCUUGCUCCACCUUUUUGUUCUUGUUUGAUCUUCAGCUGGUUUGGUGAGGCCCACUCACAUUGGGGAGGGCCAUCUGCUUUCCCCAUUUCACCAGUUCAGAUGUAAAGCUCACCCAGAAACACCCUCACAGACACACCCAGAAUGAUUGACACCCACCUAAACCUGGGUACCCUGUGGCCCGGGCAAGUUGACACUUAAAAGUUAACUAUCACAUUUUCCAAACCCAGCUUCCUGUUGUCUCCUGCUUUAGUCUGCUCUCAACACAGCAGCCAGGGUAACCUUUUAAAGUAUUAAGGCAGGGGUGGGCAAAGGAAGGCCUGAGGGCCAAAUCCAGCCUGUUGGAAAUUUAUGUAUAGCCCAGAUGCUAAGAAGAGUUUUUCCAUUUUUAAAUGACUGAGGAAAAAAAGAACAAUGACAACUAAAAAUUUUAUCAAAUCCAAGUUUUAGUGUCCAUAAAUAUUGGAACACAGUGCUGCCCAUCCAUUUAAACAGCAUCUAGGGCUGCUUUACUCCACACCCUUAAGAGUUGAGUUGAGUAGAUGCAGCAGAAAAAACAAAACCUAAAAUAUUUAUAAGCAAGCCCUUUAAGAAGAAACUGGCUGACUCCCGUAUUUAGACUCACAACCCUCCAUGGCGUUUCAUCCCACUCAGAACAAAAGCUGUAAGAUCCUUCCAGUAAGUUGAAACUGGCCCUGCCACCUUCCUGACCUCUCCUGAUGUUGACUUGUGGUCAGGGGGCCUUCUGCCUCUGAGCUUUCACAGGUGCAGUUCUUCCCCCACCCCCAGUAUCUGCAGGGCUCAUAACACCUGCUACCACCAACUCUGUCAGCUCAUUGAGUUUCUGUCUCUGCCAGAUUGAAUGAAGACAGGAACAGGAACUUGAUUCUGUGGUAUCCCUAGAAUCACAUAUUGUGUGAAUAUUUGUUGAAUGCAUGAAUUGAAAAUAUAAGCAUUAUCUGAGAUAGGGGAUACCUAUUGGAUUAUCAGCAUGACUGUACUUUGCUCCCAGAAUAUGACUCUCCCCUGUCCACCCCUGGUUGGGCUAAUGAGCCGACUGCCUUCAGUGGUGUCAAAUCUGGGAUUUUCAGGGAGUUCCUGUUAUGGUUUGGUGGGUUAAGAACCCAAUAUAGUGUCUGUAAGGAUACAGGUUUGAUCCCUGGCCUUGCUCAGUGGUUUAGGGAUCCAGCGUUGCCGUGAGCUUUGGUGUAGGUCGCAGACGCGGCUCAGAUCCCAUGUUGCUAUCGCUCUGGCGUAGGCCUGCAGCUACAGCUCCGAUUCGACCCCUAACCUGGGAACUUCCAUAUGCCGUGGGAGUGGCCCUAGAAAAGGCAAAAAGACAAAAAUAAAUAAGUUAAUAAAUAUUAUAGGACAGUAUAGCUUUCUGUGUUAGACAGUAGGACCUUGUUUUUAUACAUUUUUAUACCCCGGUUUUCCACCCAAUAAGGUGGGAGUGCUUUAUAAGCAUUCAACAUAAAUAUGACUUUUAAUCCUGCAUCUUAUUCCAUCAAGGAACAGAUUUCCAUGGUAUGGGACUUGUAUGUUUCUUCCCAAUAUUUCUCUUACAUGAAAUAUUGCUUCGACCUCUGUAGGCAUUCUGGGUUCUGCUUGUAGCAGUGGAAACCUGCUCAUUUUGAAUGCUUUCCUCUUACAGGUGUUUAGGGGACCAUGAGCUGUGCUUUUACUGUGUGCUUCACACAGAUGCCAUGAACCUGUAUCCCCUUAGCAAUGUUUGCUCCUCUACAAGGCAGCUCUUGCAGUGCAAGUCUUACCUUGAAGUAGCUUACCUGCUGCUAAUUUACUUCCUUCCCCUUACAUAGAGCACUUGCUGCUAUAGAGAAGAUUCAUCAGCCCUCAGAUUUGCAGCCGGCACCAUCACAGGCCAGGGGUAGAGAUGGAGGGCUUUUUUCUGGCUGCCUAAACCUGGCUCUGUCACUUACUCUGUGUGACCUUGGACACCGUACAGCCUUGCUUCCUCACCCCCAAGACUGCCCUGAGCAUAUGAGCUGAUAGAGGUACCACAUCUGGUGCAUGGCAGAGGCUGGGAAAAUGUUAAGCAUUUGUGUUAAGAGGAGAGAAACUGAGGCUCCAGAGAAGUGACUGCCCCUAGUCUUGUGAGUUGUCUCCUCCAGGCCGCUGCUCCUCGAUGGUUUUCCAAGUUUGUAGGUGGUGGGGGUAGGGCAUGAGGAACUCGGUCUGCGUCUGGGGCAGAAUUAUCGUUUCCCCGGGCUGAGCCCAACUCUUCUGAGAAAGAGCUUGUGGCUCCAUGGGGGCCAGGGAGGAAAGGAGACUUCUAAGAGCAUGGGGCUCUGCAUUUGCUUGCCCUGGACCCCCACCCCCACCCCUAGUCAGUCCCCCUACCCCUGUGCCGCAGGUGGGGCCAACAGCACCCCAUUCAGAAUUGAACAAAUGACCAACCCCCCUGACCUUGUGGCCUGGGAGGGACUGGUCCCCACUCUAGGAUGACCAAUUCUUUCCAGUUUGCCCAGGGCUGACCCAGUUGUAGCAUGGAAGUCUGGCAUCCCAGGAGCCCCCUCCAUCCCAGGCAGGCUAGGAUGGUUGGUCACCCUCUGUGUAAACUGUCCACCCAGAGCCAGACCCUCACUGGGUCUUUCCUGCUGCAAAGUUGGGGCUGCUCCUGUGGCCAAAAUCUCAGCUGCCCCUGUACACUGAUGAAUGCAGAGACAGGAGUUCUUGUCGUGGCUCAGUGGUUAACGAAGGAUCCAGCAUUGCUAUGAGCUGUGGUGUAGGUUGCAGAUACGGCUCGGAUCCUGUGUUUCUGUGGCUCUGGAGUAGGCCGGUGGCUACGGCUCUAUGAGGACCCCUAGCCUGGGAAUCUCCAUAUGCUGCGGGAGCGGCCCAAGAAAUUGCAAAAAGACAAAAAGACAAAAAAAAAAAAAAAAAAAAAAAAAAAA